Carya illinoinensis is the source of this 626-nucleotide long non-coding RNA. RefSeq lists it as uncharacterized. Lineage: Eukaryota; Viridiplantae; Streptophyta; Magnoliopsida; Fagales; Juglandaceae. The record is from RefSeq and is a predicted model, not a curated record. The transcript is spliced from 2 exons.
CUUAAAUAUAUAUUCCCUCUCUCACUAAUUUCUUAGUCAAAGUCUAGGGUAUUAAUGUAAUUCACUAAUUCCUUCGUCAAUGUCGACGGUAUUAAUUAAUGCAUGUCUUUUCCUCCGGCCAUCUUGUGAUCUCAACCUUAUGUAUAUAGUAUUCUCAUGUGCUGUUCUUGCGUACUGUAACACGAGAGAGAGAGAGACAGAGAGAGAGAGAUCGAUCAUGAAGGUGUUGUGGUUUCUUGUACGCUUGUGUGUUUUUCUGCUGAUCUUCCUGCAUGCAUCCUUUGGUAGUACUGAAGAACGGGGUAAAGAAUAUCGUGCUUUUUUUCAUCCUGCUCUAGCAGGCCACGGGAGCUAUGGCCGCGAGCCCUAUGGCCCGAUCAGAGGUAGUCCAUCACCACCCAUCGGAGGGCCCACAAGCCACCCAUGAGAUCAUCAAUCACAUGCACCUACCUUGCUAGUUCAAUAAAUCAAGCUGCAUACUAAUUAAUAUAAUAUAGAUAUAUAUAUGUUUAAUAAAGAGAUGAUGAAACAGCAGAUAUUAUAUAUAGCCUAUAUGCAGGCUGAGAUCAUUUCUUGUAUGAAACUUAAUUUGCAAUUAAUUAUCUAGUGAGUUAAUUAUUUCCAUC